RNAcentral lists this ribosomal RNA (465 nucleotides) under Vreelandella stevensii. RNAcentral describes it as "partial 16S ribosomal RNA". It matches the Rfam family "Bacterial small subunit ribosomal RNA", at positions 338 to 795 of the family's 1533-position model. Lineage: Bacteria; Pseudomonadati; Pseudomonadota; Gammaproteobacteria; Oceanospirillales; Halomonadaceae. The record is from RNAcentral.
CCUACGGGGUGCAGCAGUGGGGAAUAUUGGACAAUGGGGGGAACCCUGAUCCAGCCAUGCCGCGUGUGUGAAGAAGGCCCUCGGGUUGUAAAGCACUUUCAGUGAGGAAGAACGCCUGGUGGUUAAUACCCAUCAGGAAAGACAUCACUCACAGAAGAAGCACCGGCUAACUCCGUGCCAGCAGCCGCGGUAAUACGGAGGGUGCGAGCGUUAAUCGGAAUUACUGGGCGUAAAGCGCGCGUAGGUGGCUUGAUAAGCCGGUUGUGAAAGCCCCGGGCUCAACCUGGGAACGGCAUCCGGAACUGUCAAGCUAGAGUGCAGGAGAGGAAGGUAGAAUUCCCGGUGUAGCGGUGAAAUGCGUAGAGAUCGGGAGGAGUACCAGUGGCGAAGGCGGCCUUCUGGACUGACACUGCCACUGAGGUGCGAAAGCGUGGGUAGCAAACAGGAUUAGAUACCCUGGUAGUC